RNAcentral lists this ribosomal RNA (494 nucleotides) under uncultured bacterium. RNAcentral describes it as "bacterial SSU rRNA". It matches the Rfam family "Bacterial small subunit ribosomal RNA", at positions 28 to 507 of the family's 1533-position model. The record is from RNAcentral.
GAUGAACGCUAGCUACAGGCUUAACACAUGCAAGUCGAGGGGAAACGAUAGAGAAAGCUUGCUUUUUCUAGGCGUCGACCGGCGCACGGGUGAGUAACGCGUAUCCAACCUGCCCACCACUUGGGGAUAACCUUGCGAAAGUAAGACUAAUACCCAAUGACGUCUCUAGAAGACAUCUGAAAGGGAUUAAAGAUUUAUCGGUGAUGGAUGGGGAUGCGUCUGAUUAGCUUGUUGGCGGGGUAACGGCCCACCAAGGCAACGAUCAGUAGGGGUUCUGAGAGGAAGGUCCCCCCACAUUGGAACUGAGACACGGUCCAAACUCCUACGGGAGGCAGCAGUGAGGAAUAUUGGUCAAUGGGCGAGAGCCUGAACCAGCCAAGUAGCGUGCAGGAUGACGGCCCUACGGGGUUGUAAACUGCUUUUGCGGGAGAAUAAAGUCGGCCACGCGUGGCCAUUUGCAGGUACCCCGUGAAUAAGGACCGGCUAAUUCCGUG